Molecule: long non-coding RNA, 333 nt
Filed under: Salvia miltiorrhiza (redroot sage)
Lineage: Eukaryota; Viridiplantae; Streptophyta; Magnoliopsida; Lamiales; Lamiaceae
Description: long non-coding RNA (SMIL_LNC004303)
Source: RNAcentral
UUUAAAAAAAAAGGGGAGAACCGAAUUAUUAUGAGAGAAAAACAUUUCACUUUAAUAAAGAUAGAGAGAUAGGCGUGAUUUGUGAUAGAAAAUAGAGAGGGACCGAGAUUGAGGGAGAGGGAUCGAGAUGAUGAAUUUUGUUGGGCCAAUCCUUGGCUAAAUCUUAUUUUUAUUGUUUUGGGCUUUCUUUUGGGCUCCCAUUAUUUAUUUAAUAGGCUUCAAUUUUAUAUAAAUGGGCUUCUAUUAUUGGUUAAUAAUGGGUUUCGAAUUUUAUAUUACUUGGACUCCUACGAUUUAAUUGAUUAAGUCCAAUGAAAUUUAUUUAUUUAACCC